AAUAAGAUGCCUGAUUAAAGGACUAUUUUGAUAGAAUAGAUAAUGUAUUUUUACUCUUAUUA
Molecule: transfer RNA, 62 nt
Filed under: Opistoplatys sp. HL-2013
Lineage: Eukaryota; Metazoa; Arthropoda; Insecta; Hemiptera; Reduviidae
Description: tRNA-Ile
Source: RNAcentral